RNAcentral lists this long non-coding RNA (720 nucleotides) under Panax ginseng (ginseng). Its description in RNAcentral is "long non-coding RNA (PGIN_LNC008789)". Lineage: Eukaryota; Viridiplantae; Streptophyta; Magnoliopsida; Apiales; Araliaceae. The record is from RNAcentral.
GUGUUGCGAAAUUGUACGAUCCAUUCCACAUCAAUUCAUCACCUAGCAGCGCACACCUGUGUAGACGAGCCCAAUAAGUAUGUUGGACCACCUCCUUACCUAAAAGGUUAACCUAUUAGGUUGAUGUUCUACCAUACUUAUUAAGCCAUCUACACUCUUGAAUUUAAUCGAUGUGGGAUUCAUGUGAAAUCCCAACAAUCUCUACCUUUCACUUGAAUACCCAUCACAAGUAUCAUACUAGAGUAUUCUCAUCAUUAAGCACCCUUCUUUGAAUCCUUCAAGAGCUUUCUGCUCGACUCUAAUACUACUCUCAGCAAUUUUUUCCUAGAGCCAUCUGAGCCCUGCUCCACCCGAUUCAAACCUUUGAGUCCUUCAAGAGCUUUGCUUGACUCUAAUAUUACUCCACCACGUCCUGGGUGUCUCAACAACUUCUCUAGAGCCUUCCUAAGCCCGCUCCACCCGACUCAAAUCAUCCCGUGCUCCACCCACGAGGCCGUGUGCUCCACCUAAUUCAACUUUAUUUACUCCACCCACGAGGCCUGCGAAUUGUACCUUCGCGCACUCCCCUCGCACCUUGAAGUUGAUACUUGGAAUUGUUCUUGGGCCCAUCGAACCAUGAGCUUUGAUACCAUUUGUUGCGAAAUUGUACGAUCCAUCCUACAUCAAUUCAUCACCUAGCAGCGCACACCUGUGUAGACGAGCCCAAUAAGUAUGUUGGAC